AUGAAAAGGAAUAGCAGAAAUAAAUGGAAAAUAGAAGCCCAUAUAGCUCCUCUCUGCCGGACGCCGAGCUCCCUUCUCCUCUGCGCCGCCGUCUGCAGUAGCGACCAAUCCAACCGGCAGCCAUCUUCUUCCACCCCGUGCACAAGGUGUUUGACGGAAUUCCCGAAGAUGUUUUUUGCGAUAUAUUUGAUACUCAGACAGAUCAUGGACAAAGCACCAUAUUCUGAUUGCACCCCCGCUGCAUUGGCAAACUUCGAUAAGUUCAUGGGACGACAGAUGUUGCAAGUGAAUGCUCUCCUGGUGGAGAACACCAUCCUGAUGGGAAUCAUGGCCGGGAUAGACGCUUAUGGCCAUCGCUACCGUCACCAUCCAUUGACCUGCUACCUCUUCCUUGGUGCCACCUGUUCUUGCCUAUCAUCUCCUAUAUUGCCUCUGUCACUGAUGUUCAGCAUUAACCCCGGCCUGGUCUUAGUAUGGAUUUCCAUUGUUAUGAUUGUUGGUAUCAAUACAACCACAAUAGUUGCCGCUCAUGCUCGAGAAGGUCGAAGCAUUGCGCCUCUUGCAGUACUGCUAGUGCAAGCAAUAUGGACAACCUAUCUUGGGGUCGACACCAUGCAAGGUCCAAAUCGAAGUUUGUCAUCCCUAGAAGAUAUAAAAGGAUACGUCACCUCGGUGUCUGUUCUUGCCAUUUUUGCACCAUUGGCUCUUAUCAUUGCCAAAUAUUUGUCAAGUAUUAUGCAUGGUACGGUGUUAGACAAUCCUUCGUGUUUGGACACAAUCCUCGUCUUAUUGUUGGAUACAUGGAGCAGCUACCAGAUAGAAGUCAGCAUGCCAAGGAAAGGUGAUGGGACGGGGAUGAACAACAAUGGCUUAGUGACCAUUGAUAAAGUCUGGGAGUCGGAAGACAUCUUUCACAAGUCAACAGCACAACUCAAGGAUCUAUGGUUUUCAUUUGCUUGGUUCAAGCUGCAAAGGUGUCGUUUCACAAAAGACACUGCCGCUGAAAUUGCCUUCAUAAAGGCCUGUAACUUCUUAUGGCAUCUGUUGGCCGGGGAUAGGGAUGGUGGAAGGAUAAGUUGUCGUGUCCAGUGCAAGUGGGAUCAUACUGGAGUUGGUUCUGAGAUGCUUUUCGGAAAUUUAUUGUUUGAUUUGUUGCCAUUGUUCUCAUUAGCUGCAUUAGUCGUGCUCUGUGAGGUGAUGGAUAUUGCAUCCUACAUCUGCUCAGACUGGACUGAAGUGGCCUUAAUGUGCCGCUAUAUGCAAGGUAGUGAAGCCUUGGCGGGACAAAAUGAAUCAGUGCCCAUUCAUAGAAAAACGCCGGUGGCUCUUGUUGGGCGUCUCGUUCCUCUUCCUGGGCCAAAGAAGAACAUCGACACACCAAGAGAGGUGAAGACUACCAUUGCCAACACAUUAAGAAACAGCAUGGGGGACCUCAGAAAUGGCAUGAGAUGUACAUCUGACGCCUUACUUGCAUGGCACAUCGCCACAAGCAUCUUUGAGGUGAGGCACCCACAGUCAUCACCAGUUUCUGGCAAGAAGAUUGCUGCCAGCCACUUUUCACGCUACUAUGCCUACUUAGUGGCAUAUUCUCCUGAGCUACUUCUGGAUGACUAUGCGUGGAGCAAGAGCCUUUGCAAGGCCACCAAGUCGAAGCAUGAGGUGCUCAAGGAUGGUGCGAAGCUUGGCGAGCAACUGGUGGGGUGGAUUGAAGAAGAGGAAGAGGGGUGGAAGGUUCUGGCUGGAUUUUGGUGUGAGGUGAUCCUGUAUAUUGCUCCGUCGGAUAACUUCGAUGGGCAUGCGGAGGCAAUUGCCUGGGGCGGCGAGCUGAUUACACUCAUGUGGGCACUACUCACCCAUGUUGGCGUUGUCAGUAGGCCUGAGGCCGCCCGUGCCAUGAUUGAUGUAUUUGCCACUUUGUCUCUGACAUUCCUUUCCCUGGAGGUUCUCUUCACUGAUGAAUCUUUGCUGGUAGUGGUAAUAGGCGCCUUAUUCCUUUAUGUGUGCUUCAACAACCUGUACUGUAGUGCUCUCCAGUUAUUCAACAUAGCUUCAAAGGACGGCAAUUUUUGCUCUGUCUGCUCUCACAUUGUUGAGUCCGACCCGGAUUACUCAGAGACCAAUGCGGCUAUAUCAAACGUUCCUGUACUCCCUGAUCAGCGGGGCCGGGGAAGAAGGCCCGCGAUGCCUCCGCCGUUGAGGGACAUGCUGCCGCUGGCCGCGACGGCGACCGAGUGCCGGCUCACCGGACUAGGCACGAUCAGGAGACGCACCAACCAAAAGCAAACGCCACCCGUGCACAGUGCGCGUGCACGGCCACCUCACCGUCGUCUACGGAGCCGCUCGGCCUGCCGCGACGAGAUCCACUGGAUGCUCACGCGGACGCCGGCCCUCCGCGGCUUCGACCUCGCCGCCACCAACUGGGACGGCGGCUUCUUACCCGACGACCUUGCCGGAACCAUCACGGAGAGGGCCCGGCUCGACGAGGAAGGCCAUCACGGCGGCGACGCGCCGCGCUUCAGCCUCGACCUGUCCCUGACCGUCUUCGUGCGGGCCGUCUGCAAGCUGCUGGCGCUCGCGUGCAGGGAGGCCGCCGCCCAAUGUGGGCUGUCCGUGGCGGACCGCUAUUUGCUGCUGCAUAUGCUGCCGUGCUCACACACCUUCCACGUCCGCUGCCUUGCGCGGUGGUUCGAGAAGGUGACGACGUGCCCCCUGUGCCGCCGCGACAUGGUCGUCCACGUUGAGGCCGCCUACGCACACGAGAGCAAGGCCGUGGCCGAGAAACUAAAGGCCAUAUACAGGAGUAUAAAAUUGGACCCUGAUUGCUAA
Molecule: ribosomal RNA, 2826 nt
Filed under: Triticum aestivum (bread wheat)
Lineage: Eukaryota; Viridiplantae; Streptophyta; Magnoliopsida; Poales; Poaceae
Description: partial small subunit ribosomal RNA
Source: RNAcentral